This 284-nucleotide ribosomal RNA is filed under the name Candida albicans. RNAcentral describes it as "partial 28S ribosomal RNA". It matches the Rfam family "Eukaryotic large subunit ribosomal RNA", at positions 1 to 279 of the family's 3401-position model. Lineage: Eukaryota; Fungi; Ascomycota; Pichiomycetes; Serinales; Debaryomycetaceae. The record is from RNAcentral.
UUUGACCUCAAAUCAGGUAGGACUACCCGCUGAACUUAAGCAUAUCAAUAAGCGGAGGAAAAGAAACCAACAGGGAUUGCCUCAGUAGCGGCGAGUGAAGCGGCAAAAGCUCAAAUUUGAAAUCUGGCGUCUUUGGCGUCCGAGUUGUAAUUUGAAGAAGGUAUCUUUGGGCCCGGCUCUUGUCUAUGUUCCUUGGAACAGGACGUCACAGAGGGUGAGAAUCCCGUGCGAUGAGAUGACCCGGGUCUGUGUAAAGUUCCUUCGACGAGUCGAGUUGUUUGGGA